UGGGGAAUUUUGGACAAUGGGCGCAAGCCUGAUCCAGCCAUGCCGCGUGCGGGAAGAAGGCCUUCGGGUUGUAAACCGCUUUUGUCAGGGAAGAAAUCUUCUGAGUUAAUACCUCGGGAGGAUGACGGUACCUGAAGAAUAAGCACCGGCUAACUACGUGCCAGCAGCCGCGGUAAUACGUAGGGUGCAAGCGUUAAUCGGAAUUACUGGGCGUAAAGCGUGCGCAGGCGGUUUUGUAAGACAGAGGUGAAAUCCCCGGGCUCAACCUGGGAACUGCCUUUGUGACUGCAAGGCUUGAGUGCGGCAGAGGGGGAUGGAAUUCCGCGUGUAGCAGUGAAAUGCGUAGAUAUGCGGAGGAACACCGAUGGCGAAGGCAAUCCCCUGGGCCUGCACUGACGCUCAUGCACGAAAGCGUGGGGAGCAAAACAGGAUUAGAUACCCUGGUAGUCCACGCCCUAAACGAUGUCAACUGGUUGUUGGGAAGGUUCCUCCUCAGUAACGUAGCUAACGCGUGAAGUUGACCGCCUGGGGAGUACGGCCGC
This 542-nucleotide ribosomal RNA is filed under the name uncultured bacterium. Its description in RNAcentral is "partial 16S ribosomal RNA". It matches the Rfam family "Bacterial small subunit ribosomal RNA", at positions 355 to 889 of the family's 1533-position model. The record is from RNAcentral.